This is a long non-coding RNA of Microplitis mediator, 933 nucleotides long. RefSeq lists it as uncharacterized. NCBI's taxonomy places the organism in Eukaryota, Metazoa, Arthropoda, Insecta, Hymenoptera, Braconidae. The transcript has 3 exons. The record is from RefSeq and is a predicted model, not a curated record.
UGACUACACAAGUGCGUGGAAUAGCCUCGGAAAUAUUUUUUUUUUCGGCUUAUAAAUCAAAUAACACGAUAAUUAUUUAAAAAGUUAUUAAAUUAAAAUUAAUUGGGUAAAAUGAACUACGUAAUAUUUAAUUUUGUUAUUCGUAUGACACUAAAAUAUUUAUAUUUAAAUAUUGGAGUUUUGCAUGAGUCAAGAGAUAAAAAAAAAUAUGAUGAAGAUAAUUUGUUGCUGGUCAAUAGGAGCGACAAAGAUUGAAGUAAAGUAUUUUUGGUUGCUGUUUAAAUUGACUCAAAUUUAAAUCGUAAGAUAGAACUUGUAAGUUCGGGUUAAAUCUUUGGAAGAAAUAAAUUUUUUUCAGUACUUACUUUUUGUAUUGUCAAGAAAAUUGAAGGAGAGACUCGAGCGACUCCUCAUCAAAAUUACGUCUUUAUUUUAUUAAGAUGUCAAUUGUCUCUUUAAAUCUCCGAGAAUUAAAGGCCGUAUUCAACAUUACGGACAAACAAAAGUUUUGAAUGGAAAAAUAAUAGUUUUUCACAUGAAAUGACAUUUUUUCAAAAGGGCGUAAGAUUAAACGAUUAAACUGUUAGUAAAAUUUUUCACAGAUAAAUUUUCUCACAGUAGGCAUGCAAUGGGAUUUAAACAUCAUGUUUCAUUUGAAUCGACCAAUAUUUUUUCACAAUGGAUUCUAUCCCUUCGUAGAUAAAAUCACAUUUUCUCGGUAAAAUUUAUAGAAAAUUUCAUUUAAUGAAGACUUUUACUUUUAUAAAUUUGUUUUUUGAUUAUCAAAAACUCCAGGACACAUAAUUAUCAAAACUUUCCUUUACCUUUUCAAAUUUUUUUAAACCGGCUCAUAUUUUCCAGCAUUAAUUAAUUUUUUCCUGAGUCAUAAUUUUAAAUAUUUAUACAAAUAAUUAAAUUUUUAAAUUAUUUUUA